RNAcentral lists this long non-coding RNA (1005 nucleotides) under Elaeis guineensis (African oil palm). RNAcentral describes it as "long non-coding RNA (EGUI_LNC075730)". Lineage: Eukaryota; Viridiplantae; Streptophyta; Magnoliopsida; Arecales; Arecaceae. The record is from RNAcentral.
AGAAAGUUUCUUAUUCUCUCCCAUAAAAGGAAGAGGGGACUUACUUUAGCUUUAGAGUGAAUCUUUUUUUCUUAAAAAAAAAGCGGGGAUUCCUUUCGAGAAAGUACUUGUGAAUAGACAUCUGAGAUUGAAGUGAAGCCCCCUUUCAUUUUCUUAGCUCAGAGAGGUUUUCGAUUGAAUACCAUGCAAUCUACGAUGCUAAGAAUCAACUUGAUUCUAUUUUCUUUUUGCCUUACCCGCUCCACUAUGCCCCUUUCGAACUGAUCACCAGAUGGAAUUCAAUAUGACAUCCACUUCAUGUGUCGAGCCUACUGUCACUUUGAUUGUGUUUGAAGAAACUGAAGAGGCUUAUGAUCAGUAUGAACAAUCACCUCCUUACCUAGCAAGUACGGUCACCGGUGCUUUCAAGCAUUCAACAGAUUGAUCAAGAACUCAUCUAAAAAGGGGAAGACCCUAUCACUCGAAAGGAAGAAGGAAAGCUACUCCAACAGGAUCUCUAGAUGUCUCAAAAAGGCAGAAGCAGAAGAAAACAUACAUGACUUGGAGAAGAAAUUAUAUUAGGAUUAGCGGAAACACUCUUACACUUCUAUGGUAUGGAGAAUGCUUCCAUUCCAAGACUGACUGCGCUAUGAGGAAUGAUAUUAUACAAAUAUUUUGGCUAGAGGGAAAACUAAAAGAAGAGGGCUAAGGUUGGCUCAGUCCAGUUGAAAUGGGGACUCUCUUGAAACGGGUAGUAUACGGUAUGGGUUUGCUCUUUCCCGAAGGUGAUAAAAAAGAGAGAGAUUCACCAUGCCAGCUACAUUGGAUUGAAAACAAACUUGCCUGGAGAAAUCAAACUUCCUGCCUUUGCCCUUUAUCAGCUCAAUAAAGUCUAAUGUAUCGUGAGAUAAAAAGAAAAGUUUCAGAAUGAAGUUGAUUGAAUGAGAUUGAGAAAUGGAGGUUUGAGAAGCCGGAAAGAGUAUCCAGGUUAGGAAAACAAAGUUUUAUAGCUUUCCUAUGUCUAAG